AGUGAACGCUGGCGGUAGGCCUAACACAUGCAAGUCGAACGGCAGCACAGUAAGAGCUUGCUCUUACGGGUGGCGAGUGGCGGACGGGUGAGGAAUACAUCGGAAUCUACUUUUUCGUGGGGGAUAACGUAGGGAAACUUACGCUAAUACCUCAUACGACCUACGGGUGAAAGCAGGGGAUCUUCGGACCUUGCGCGAUUGAAUGAGCCGAUGUCGGAUUAGCUAGUUGGCGGGGUAAAGGCCCACCAAGGCGACGAUCCGUAGCUGGUCUGAGAGGAUGAUCAGCCACACUGGAACUGAGACACGGUCCAGACUCCUGCGGGAGGCAGAAGUGGGGAAUAUUGGACAAUGGGCGCAAGCCUGAUCCAGCCAUACCGCGUGGGUGAAGAAGGCCUUCGGGUUGUAAAGCCCUUUUGUUGGGAAAGAAAAGCAGCAGGUUAAUACCCCGCUGUUCUGACGGUACCCAAAGAAUAAGCACCGGCUAACUUCGUG
RNAcentral lists this ribosomal RNA (492 nucleotides) under uncultured bacterium. RNAcentral describes it as "partial 16S ribosomal RNA". It matches the Rfam family "Bacterial small subunit ribosomal RNA", at positions 29 to 507 of the family's 1533-position model. The record is from RNAcentral.